CCUCCGUGCCCCUCCGCAAGCGCCGCACGCCGAGGCAGCGGGAAGGAACAAAGGGGAGAGAACCCGCCGCCCCCCUCUAAGGGAGAACUCCUCCAUCUGUGCCAUGCUGUCUGUCUCCCCGGGAUGUUCCUUCAGGAACUGCUUUCCCUCCACAGUGGGAACCUACCCGUAUUUAAAGAGUGGCUACAAAGGAUAUGUAAACUCCCUUUGCACAAGGAGUCACAUGGAAAAGGAGGAAUGGGCACACGUUACUUCUGGGGAUAUUCCGACUGGACACGAGAAAAAAUCUUUUCACAGUGAGAACAAUCAGCCAUUGGAAUAGUCUCUCCAGGGAAGCAGUGGACUCCGCAGCACUGGACAGUUUUAAGAUGCAGCUGGACAGGGUGCUGGGACAUCUAGAUUAAGUCAUGCUUUGCCUAGAAAGGUUGGAUCAAAUGAUUCUGGAGGUCCCUUCCAACCUGGUAUUCUAUGAUUCUUUGGUACUAUGACACUAUGUGUAUGGUGCUGACAUCCUCUCUCAGAACUGGCUUUAAACCCUUAGCAUCUACACACAUAAUAAAUGAGUUCAGAGAAAGGGACAGCAUGACUUCGUGACUGCUCCCAUAGUGAACUGUCAUUGCUAUGACUGUACUUUAGUGCAUGGCUAAGCCACAGUCCUUCUAGGAGAAGAAAUUGCCUGUGCUUUUACAGGUAAUUUUAUCACUAAUGUAUGGCAAAGGAGUUGCUCUGCUCAGAGGAAGGUGCUUGCUGUUUUGCUAGUAGCACAUAGCUGGCAAACUGAAUGCAAUUAACUCUUCUUCUGCUGUUCCAGUUUUAUUUGACUUGAGCGACAUAAAAAAGGCCAAGCCUAGGAGCAGACCUUACAACCAAGCUUUAAAUGUAUUUUUUCCUAUGAUUAGAGAGCUGGCACAUAGUGGUGAAAUGUCCACACCUUACGGGAUGCAGCUGCUGGACAGAACAGUGCUCAUUCCCUCCAUUAGCACACAACAGCUGUGAUUGAUAGAAAAUGCAUGGCUUGGCUUUACAUUGGCAGGGAAACACACUGCUAUGUAUCUAAAUCAUACAGUGUUUUGAGGCUUUACUGCCUUUCUAGUAACCAUUUGCAUGAAAUAAAAAAUGUAAAAUGGUAUAUUAUUCACCCUUUUCUAAAAAAUAAGCCUGCAUCUGAAUUUAAAUCAGGCAGGAGAUGCUGAAGUCCCAAGAUAAAUUUUUACAGAAUAAUGAAUAUCUGAGAAGAAGUAAUUAAUCAUUGUAUCAUCGCAAUCUUUUCAAAGGUCACCCCAGCGCUAACUUAAGACAUCUGUGCCAUCACCCUCAUCUAGGACUCAUCUAGUCAAGCCAAACAACAUAAUUCAAAUACUGAACUGAUUUUCUCUUCAGGGAACUUUGGUCUUGGAGACCUAUAAGCAGUACAGAGAACUCUGAUGACUGAACCAUUAGUGUGGGUUUUGUGAAUAAGGGUUUGCUUUCUCUGGAAGAUGGCACACCGCUGUCUGGGUGAAAUUCAAUAGGAAAAAAAAUCAAUAUUCUAGAAGGCAUGUUGGCUGUUUCCGAGAACGUUAAACUAACAUCAAAGAGAAAGGUGAAAAGGACAUAAAAAUCAAAGCCUUGAGAACAAAAUGGAAUCUCCAGUAGGCAUCAACAGAAGAGAUGCUUUAAUUGACUAUGCACAAGGAGUGUAGCUAAUAAAUAGAAAGUCUUGGAAUUGUUGAUUUCUGACCAGAAAUUCAAAAGUGCUGCAUAUUACUAUAAGCUAGUGAUAUGAUCCACAUGACUGGAAAGUUGAAACCUGUCUAUAGUCUGCUUAGAAAGGCACUGGUGGACAAAAAGAAGGGAAAACACUACCAAAAUAGACUGUUCUCUGUGUCAGCAUUUCUGACAUCUCAGGAAAGAUUAUUUGAAUGUUUAUGAAUUGUGUUUUAAUGUUUAAAACAUAAAAGGAAGUAUUAGAUAGAGCCUACUGCAAACCUCACAUCAUACUAAAGGACAAAACUCAAGAUCAUUAAGUAUUUUUUACAUAGAAAGAGAAAAUUGCUUUUCUCUUUCUGAGAAUUCUGAGAAAUUCUGAGAAUUUCUGAAUUCACUGAGGGUCCACCUUGAAUGACGUCAUUCUGCCAAUAGCGUAACGUUCUGGGAAUGUCUAAAAAUUACAGGUGACAAUUCAGAAAGUUAACCUUGAACAGGAGGAUUCUGAAUGAGACCUCAUUGUAACACAUGAAAAGGGAAAGCUAGCUCCAACUGGAAUCUAAAAUUUGAGCGUUUGCUGUGCCUAACUUUUUGGAAUCUGAGCCCAGAAUGGAAUCCAGAAACUAAAUAUAGGUACAGCCUAUGAAUUUGAAAAGUUUUUUUUAGAGAAGUCUUGCAGUCUGUGUUAUGCAAAAAGAAAAGAUCACACACGGAUCUCUCUGGAACUGAAAUCCAUAAGCUUUUACUAGAGUAUCAAUAUAUUUCAAGUCUGUCCUGUAUCGUCUGAAAACUGGGACAUUUGAUUUUUUUCAUGUGUUUCCCUAUGAGGAAGAAAAUGAUAAUUCUUUUGCUGUCAAGGCAAAACAGAGGGUACAGCUUCUUAGGUACUGGAAAGGUAUAGGACAGUUAUCAGACUGAAAAUGUAUGAAAAUAUUCGGAAAAGCUAGAAGUCCUCUUAUUCCUCUCUGUCACUCAUCUUCUCAUGGGUACCAGUAAGGAAUGUGAAGUAGAUCCACAAGAGAUUGCUAACUGAAGCAAUGAAGGUGCAGGAAUCAAGAAUUCUCAGAACCAGUUUCCCUGAGCUGGCAUGAUGACUAAUGUACUUUUAAAGGCAUCAGCAGUUCCAGGCAAAAACCACAUUUUUGUUUUCUGGACAUAGGAGAAAUGCUGCUGUGAUCAUAUUGGCUGUAGUGGCAGGAGGCAGGGGAAUUCAUGCUGCAACUGCCAGAUGUGGAAGAGUUUGUUCCUUCACUGGCAGGAGUUAUGCAGUGAUCUGCAAUGCUGGGAAGUACACUACCUCAUUUUGGAAUUUAACUCUUUGCCCACAGAUCACCACACCAUGAAAUUAAUUUUUCACAGUGAUUGUUAAAUCACUUUAUUUUUAUUGCAGAAUAUUUCUGGCCCCCCCCCCCCCCCCCCCCUUUUUUUUUAAGAAACAAUCCAUUGGUUGCUAUCCCCACUGUUUUGGCAUUUCUCCCUUUUCAUUAUGCAAAAGGUUCAUUUUGAAAUUUUCUUAUGUUGCGGACAUCCUAUGAGCAAAAUUGGAUCUCUAAAUGCCCCCCUGUAGGGAUGAAGCUGUACCACUGCCAAAAUGGACCUCUGCAUCUCAGAAGAAACUCGGCUGGAAUUGAAAUGAUAGUGCACACAGUGGAGGCUGUCCUCUCUGCCAAAGCUCAGCUAUUGCUCUGAGAGCAAACUGUGCAAAUGCAGCAUUUUAUGUGGACAUUCAGCACAGAAAACAGCUUCAAGAGGACCUUUACUCUGUAAUUGUAGAAAUAAAAUCUCAAGGGAGAUUAAUCAAUUCAUUGCCAAGAAGUAUCAGUUUCGGUAAGGUGGUAACUACCUUAGCACUUGGAUUGAACUUCCAUAUGGGGACUUGGUAAUGAAAUGUUGUUUGUGUCAAAAUGCUUCACUAGGGAGAAAUUCCCUUGUUAAUGAAAUAAAACUGCUUCAAUAGGUUGUUAGCUCCACCACUGACACCGUAGAACCACAGCCCAGGAGAAUUAGCUCCUGUGCUGCUGACAAAAACCAGAAAACAUUGUGCCGAGGAGUUAACUCUCUCCUGGAAAACAAGCGUUUGCUAGAAUAGAGGAACAAAUCUGCUUGCCUGUAGGAAAGCGAUGCACAUUCUUACUGGUGCAAUUCAACUUUUGCAAUGUCAUGGUUUUUAUACUCUCAAAAUUAAAAAAUAAUUCUGUGAAAAGGCAAGAGAUCUGAGAGUGUGUGUUCCAUAUAAUGAACUAAUGUGGACAUAUUGCCAAGACUCAGAGUGACCUGAACUAAAGACCAGCAACUCAUGUAAGUCUGUAGUUGAAGUUUGUGGGUAACACAAGUGCUGAUGAAAGUUUCAAUGAGGAAAAAAAAUCAUAAGCAAAAAAGGCAAAAUUGUAAUUCAUGUGGCAUUCAGUAUAUGUGCAAAACUCACUUAUUUACAUGUAAAUGAGACAGACAGAUGAAAAGCAAAGAGCAGUAUGGAGAUAACCCUGUCUAGUCUUCCCUGUCAAGCACAAGCGUCUUUCAAUGUACAGCUGCACUGAAGACUUUAAGUCAGGGAUUAGGGAUUCUGGCUUUAGUGUGCCAUUUAAAUUCUGAAUAUCCAUAAGACUAUCUUUCAUUAAAAUUUUGCUCAGCAUGUUCCUCAAGAUUGAGAUGUUUUACACUGUCAUUUAGAUUGUAUGGGACUUUGGUCCUGAAUGUGUUAUUUGCUGGGAAUUAAAAGGGAAUGAAAUUAAAAAAGUGAGUAUGCACCAGCUGCAUUGUAAAACUGGAAAUAGUGCUUAGGAUCCCGAGUUUCAUCAGCUCUCAGUGGAUGCUGGGGGCUCUCCUGCCUUCUGUGCCUUCCAGUUUCCUCUGAGAUUUCAAGAUGGGGCAUGAAUAUAAAACCAAAGCUCUACAGAAGAUAUGCUGCAGCCAGAAAUCUGUAUGAAUAUAAUGACUUUACAAAACAUCUCAAAAGACUGAAUAAUCUUCCUGCUGGACAAAGGCAGAAAAAAGGAAAGUCAGUGGAUUUGGAAUGAAGAAUGUUUACAUAAUAUUUGAUCCUUAUUAUUUUAAAACAGCUACAAAAUAUGAUUCAUAGAAACACAGGGCUGGAUUACCAAUCAGUUAGUCUAACCUCUUCCAGAUCCUAGCAAACAUAUUGCACAGUCCUGACAAUAAAAUGAUUACUUUAAAACUA
This is a long non-coding RNA of Strigops habroptila (Kakapo), 4864 nucleotides long. RefSeq lists it as uncharacterized. Lineage: Eukaryota; Metazoa; Chordata; Aves; Psittaciformes; Psittacidae. The record is from RefSeq and is a predicted model, not a curated record. The transcript is spliced from 3 exons.